GUAUUCUUGGAUGACCUUGUGGGCUGAUUAAGGGUGGAGAAGUGAGGUGCCAAUUAAAAAGUUGCACGACCCUUCGGAGAAACAUCGCAGAAUUUUUUUUGAAGAGUCCUUCUACGUGAAGUGACUCUUGAAAUUAAUUUUGAUGUUUUCACGUAAGAGAUCAGGCUUGGACCAAUAUGUGAAGGGUGGAACAGUGUGAGGAUGGG
RNAcentral lists this long non-coding RNA (206 nucleotides) under Elaeis guineensis (African oil palm). Its description in RNAcentral is "long non-coding RNA (EGUI_LNC074231)". The record is from RNAcentral. Lineage: Eukaryota; Viridiplantae; Streptophyta; Magnoliopsida; Arecales; Arecaceae.